CAGGAGGCUGCCGAAAAUCCUAUUUAACAGAGUAGGCU
This 38-nucleotide non-coding RNA is filed under the name unclassified sequences. RNAcentral describes it as "DUF805b RNA". It matches the Rfam family "DUF805b RNA". Rfam says of the family: Bacteroidetes, Chlorobi (1 example), Proteobacteria. Lineage (Flavobacteria) The record is from RNAcentral.